CGGCGGCGGCGGUGGAGGUGGUGGUGGCGGCAAUGGCGGCGGCGGCGGCGACGACGACGGCGGCGACGGCGACGACGGCGGCGGCGGUGGCGACAGCGACGACGACGAUCACGACGACAGACAGCGACGGACUAUGCGUCGUAAGAGAACCGGCUGUGCGGAACGGGACAAAUAUAUGCAGCACUGACGGAAGCCUCGAUGCAAUUUUGAGAAAAGGGUGAAAAGUCGCGGCAUACCACGAUGGAAUACUCAUCGUUUUUCACAAACCGGAUUCCAAGAGUCUACCACCGAAAAUGGCCGGCUCGCGUGCAUAUACAUGGAUAUACGUAGGAUUGUACCGGGGAAUCUCUCGAAUCGAGAAACAGACGUAACGCCACUGCCGCCGCGCGCGCGAACGAAGAGGAAGAAGAGCAGAUAGCGCGAGAAGGACGGCUAAAAACCCCCUCGAGGUUUCGACUCAGCAUCCCACGAUAUCUACAUCUAUUUUUGGCCACGGAUCGAAAGCGUGGGCGCCGAGAGACCGGCUCGUUGUUCCAGCAUCGUCCGAAAUAUUUCGAUGACGCAACGAACGACGAACGCGAGACCGGAUUACGUAUUCGCCAGUCGUGGAUGCACGCGCGUAAUCCCUCCUGCGAGCUUCGCCUUUCACAAGAGAGUACGCGAGCAUCGUGUUCAAGAACGUGGACCGCGGAUGAGGGCCUUCAUCUCGAAUGGUAUUCGAGUUCGAACGAACGACGAUGAGACGGGGGCUAGGCGGGCUGGGAUACGAGGGGUGAGGUGGGAGGGUAUUGCCGACUCUCCUCCAUUUAUCUGUCCGAUAUGAAAAAUAGCCUAUUACGAGGAACAAAGAGGCGAGCCGGAUCUUUACCUCUGAUCCUCCUCCUCCUCCUCCUCCUCCUCCUCCUUCUGCUGUCCUUUCGAGCUCGAGAAGAGAGCUAAGAAAUUUUACUUUGACACUGGAAUUCGCGAUG
Vespula pensylvanica (western yellowjacket) is the source of this 971-nucleotide long non-coding RNA. RefSeq lists it as uncharacterized. The record is from RefSeq and is a predicted model, not a curated record. Lineage: Eukaryota; Metazoa; Arthropoda; Insecta; Hymenoptera; Vespidae. The transcript is spliced from 4 exons.